AAUAAGUGCUGUUUUGCACUAUUCACAUUCAACGUUUGAUCAUUCGUCUUAUUUGAAAAUUUUUUAUGAUUAGUAUUUUUAUUGCUAUUAGAUGAUAAAACAUGAAUAUAUAGUACUUUAUGUGUGACUAAAUAGUUUCAAAUUUUUCACAAAUUUUUCAAAUAAGAUGGACGGUCAAACGUUGGGCACGAAUAUCCACGGCUGCAUUUAUU
Molecule: non-coding RNA, 212 nt
Organism: Oryza glumipatula
Lineage: Eukaryota; Viridiplantae; Streptophyta; Magnoliopsida; Poales; Poaceae
Source: Rfam